This is a long non-coding RNA of Etheostoma cragini (Arkansas darter), 243 nucleotides long. RefSeq lists it as uncharacterized. Lineage: Eukaryota; Metazoa; Chordata; Actinopteri; Perciformes; Percidae. The record is from RefSeq and is a predicted model, not a curated record. The transcript has 2 exons.
CCUACAGAAGACCAGUCAUACAACCGUUCCAACGACUCCGAAGCUGUUCAGUUAAGGUACAUUAAGCUAAAAUAACUGCAUAGUUUCCCUUUAAAAUGUUUAAUUUUACGUUUAUGUUGUGCAAGUUUGAUGUGAUUUCUCAAAGAAAUGAAUUUUGAUCCGAGCUGAAUGUGCAAACGCUAGAAGCAUGCCCCUUUAAAAACAUCAGAUUUACUUUCUCUAUAAAAAUCUCUAUUAAGUCAC